Molecule: ribosomal RNA, 50 nt
Filed under: Paraconiothyrium brasiliense
Lineage: Eukaryota; Fungi; Ascomycota; Dothideomycetes; Pleosporales; Didymosphaeriaceae
Description: partial 28S ribosomal RNA
Source: RNAcentral
UGACCUCGGAUCAGAUGACGACGAGCGCAGUCCGAUAGGGCUUUCGUAAG